GGGGGAAGGUAUAAGUUAAUCCCUCCCACUUAGUUAUUGCGAAAAGCACGCUAAUUCGGCCGCAGCGCGUAAACGAGGGGCAGCCUUAUCGAAUACUGGCGUAAGGCACGCAGCGGUCAUUAAUCAGAUUGAAAGCCCGGCUUAACUGGAAUGCAUUGAACUGGUGGCUGAGUCUUUAGAGGGGGUAGAAUUCAUUGUAGCGGGAAAAUGCGUGAGAUUGGAGGAAUACCGGUGGGAAGGCGGCCCCCGGACAAGAAUGACGCUCAGGUCGAAAGCCUGGGAGCAAACCGGAUUAGAUACCCUGGUAGUUCACCCGUAAACGAGUCGAUUUAGAGGUUGUGGUCUGAACCGUGGCUUCUGGAGCUAACGCGUUAAAUUGACCGCCUGGGGAGUACGGCCGCAAGGUUAAAACUCAAAUGAAUUGACGGGGGCCCGCACAAGCCGUGGAGCAUGUGGUUUAAUUCGAUGCAACGCGAAGAACCUUACCUACUCUUGACAUCCAGCGAAUCCUUUAGAGAUAGAGGAGUGCCUUCGGGAACGUUGAGACAGGUGCUGCAUGGCCGUCGUCAGCUCGUGUUGUGAAAUGUUGGGUUAAGUCCCGCAACGAGCGCAACCCUUAUCCUUUGUUGCCAGCACGUAAUGGUGGGAACUCAAAGGAGACUGCCGGUGAUAAACCGGAGGAAGGUGGGGAUGACGUCAAGUCAUCAUGGCCCUUACGAGUAGGGCUACACACGUGCUACAAUGGCAGAUACAAAGAGAAGCGACCUCGCGAGAGCAAGCGGAACUCAUAAAGUCUGUCGUAGUCCGGAUUGGAGUCUGCAACUCGACUCCAUGAAGUCGGAAUCGCUAGUAAUCGUAGAUCAGAAUGCUACGGUGAAUACGUUCCCGGGCCUUGUACACACCGCCCGUCACACCAUGGGAGUGGGUUGCAAAAGAAGUAGGUAGCUUAACCUUCCGGGAGGGCGAUUAUCACUUUGUG
Molecule: ribosomal RNA, 979 nt
Filed under: Proteus mirabilis
Lineage: Bacteria; Pseudomonadati; Pseudomonadota; Gammaproteobacteria; Enterobacterales; Morganellaceae
Description: bacterial SSU rRNA
Rfam family: Bacterial small subunit ribosomal RNA
Source: RNAcentral